Molecule: ribosomal RNA, 464 nt
Filed under: Prevotella melaninogenica
Lineage: Bacteria; Pseudomonadati; Bacteroidota; Bacteroidia; Bacteroidales; Prevotellaceae
Description: bacterial SSU rRNA
Rfam family: Bacterial small subunit ribosomal RNA
Source: RNAcentral
GAUGAACGCUAGCUACAGGCUUAACACAUGCAAGUCGAGGGGAAACGGCAUUGAGUGCUUGCACUCUUUGGACGUCGACCGGCGCACGGGUGAGUAACGCGUAUCCAACCUUCCCAUUACUGUGGGAUAACCUGCCGAAAGGCAGACUAAUACCGCAUAGUCUUCGAUGACGGCAUCAGAUUUGAAGUAAAGAUUUAUCGGUAAUGGAUGGGGAUGCGUCUGAUUAGCUUGUUGGCGGGGUAACGGCCCACCAAGGCAACGAUCAGUAGGGGUUCUGAGAGGAAGGUCCCCCACAUUGGAACUGAGACACGGUCCAAACUCCUACGGGAGGCAGCAGUGAGGAAUAUUGGUCAAUGGACGGAAGUCUGAACCAGCCAAGUAGCGUGCAGGAUGACGGCCCUAUGGGUUGUAAACUGCCUUUGUAUGGGGAUAAAGUUAGGGACGUGUCCCUAUUUGCAGGUACC